Molecule: ribosomal RNA, 253 nt
Filed under: uncultured bacterium
Lineage: Bacteria
Description: partial 16S ribosomal RNA
Rfam family: Bacterial small subunit ribosomal RNA
Source: RNAcentral
UACAGAGGGUGCAAGCGUUAAUCGGAUUUACUGGGCGUAAAGCGCGCGUAGGUGGUUUGUUAAGUUGAAUGUGAAAGCCCCGGGCUCAACCUGGGAACUGCAUCCAAAACUGGCAAGCUAGAGUAUGGCAGAGGGUGGUGGAAUUUCCUGUGUAGCGGUGAAAUGCGUAGAUAUAGGAAGGAACACCAGUGGCGAAGGCGACCACCUGGACUGAUACUGACACUGAGGUGCGAAAGCGUGGGGAGCAAACAGG